Sinocyclocheilus rhinocerous is the source of this 289-nucleotide long non-coding RNA. RefSeq lists it as uncharacterized. The transcript is spliced from 3 exons. Lineage: Eukaryota; Metazoa; Chordata; Actinopteri; Cypriniformes; Cyprinidae. The record is from RefSeq and is a predicted model, not a curated record.
AACCUCCGCUGGAUCCUCACCUUCAUCCUGCUCUUCAUCAUCGUCUGUGAAAUAGCCGAGGGCAUCGUGUCCGACGGGUUUAAUCAGUCGGUCCACUUGCACCUCUAUAUGCCAUCAUGUUUGGCCUUCAUGGCUGCCAUUACAUCAAUCGUCUUCUACCACAACAUAGAGACCUCCAACUUCCCCAAACUACUGAUGACUUUGUUCAUUUACUGGGUUCUGGCGUUUGUCUCUAAAACAAUCAAGUUUUUCAAGUACACGGAGCAUGGCAUCGGCCUGAGACAGCUGC